UACGGAGGGGGCUAGCGUUGUUCGGAAUUACUGGGCGUAAAGCGUGCGUAGACGGUUAUUUAAGUCAGGUGUGAAAGCCCAGGGCUCAACCUUGGAAUUGCAUUUGAGACUGAAUAGCUAGGGUGCGGAAGAGGGAAGCGGAAUUUCCGGUGUAGCGGUGAAAUGCGUAGAUAUCGGAAGGAACACCAGUGGCGAAAGCGGCUUCCUGGUCCAGCACCGACGUUCAGGCACGAAAGCGUGGGGAGCAAACAGG
RNAcentral lists this ribosomal RNA (253 nucleotides) under uncultured bacterium. RNAcentral describes it as "partial 16S ribosomal RNA". It matches the Rfam family "Bacterial small subunit ribosomal RNA", at positions 524 to 776 of the family's 1533-position model. The record is from RNAcentral.